GGGCAUAUGGUGUAGGGGUUAUCACGUUCGCUUUGCAUUCUGGAUCCAAUAACACCUUGCGAAAGGUCUCCGGUUCAAAUCCGGAUCUGUCCA
Non-coding RNA from Lentinula lateritia, 93 nucleotides. The record is from the annotation of a GenBank genome assembly. NCBI's taxonomy places the organism in Eukaryota, Fungi, Basidiomycota, Agaricomycetes, Agaricales, Omphalotaceae.